AGGGGUAUAGCUCAGUGGUAGAGCAUUUGACUGCAAAUCAGAAAGCCCCAGUCACCAGGCAAAAAAUGUAGAUUAAUUGCUGUUG
RNAcentral lists this transfer RNA (85 nucleotides) under Cricetulus griseus (Chinese hamster). It matches the Rfam family "tRNA". Rfam says of the family: Transfer RNA (tRNA) molecules are approximately 80 nucleotides in length. Their secondary structure includes four short double-helical elements and three loops (D, anti-codon, and T loops). Lineage: Eukaryota; Metazoa; Chordata; Mammalia; Rodentia; Cricetidae. The record is from Rfam by way of RNAcentral.